GUUUGAUCUGGCUCAGAUUGAACGCUGGCGGGAUGCUUUACACAUGCAAGUCGAACGGCGGCACGGACUUCGGUCUGGUGGCGAGUGGCGAACAGGUGAGUAAUGUGUCAGGACGUGCCUAGUGGCGGGGGAUAACUACGCGAAAGCGUAGCUAAUACCGCAUACGCCUUCGAGAAGGGGAAAGCGGGGGACGCUGAACUCACUAAUGAAACUUAGCCGAUAUCGGAUUAGCAUGGUUGGUGAGGUAACGGCUCACCAAGGCGACGAUCCGCAACUGGUUGAAGAGACGACCCACUUACACUGGGACUGAGACACGGCCCAGACUCCUACGGGAGGCAGCAGUGAAAUUUUGGACAAUGGGGAAACCCUGAUCCAGCCAUCCCGCGUGUGCGAUGAAGGCCUUCGGGUUGUAAAGCACUUUUUUGGCAGGAAAGAAACGGCACGGGAUAAUACCCCGUGCAAGCUGACGUACCUGCAGAAUGGCGCCGACUGCCCGUGCCAGCAGCCGCGGUAAUGCGGUGCAAGCGUUAAUCGGAAUUACUGGUAAAGCGUGCGCAGGCGGUUCGGAAAAGAAGAUGUGAAAUCCGGAAGCAACUUUGGAACUGCAUUUUUAACUACGAGCUAGAGUGUCAGAGGAGUGGAAUUCCGCGAUGGCAGUGAAAUGCGUAGAUAUGCGGGAAGGUACCGAUGGCGAAGGCAGCCUCUGGGAUAACACUGACGCCUCAUGCAUGGCGUAGAACAGAAGCAAGUUAGAUACCCUGGUAGUCCACGCCCUCAGCAAUCAUCCUUCGCUGUUGGACGCUUCGGGCCUUGUUGACGCAAUAACUGCGGCAAAGUUGACCGCCGCAAGUACGGUCGCAAGAUUAAAACUCGAAAAAGAUUGACAGGACCCGCACAAGCGGUGGAUGAUGUGGAUUAAUUCGAUGCAACGCGAAACCUUACCUACCCUUGGCGGCAUGUCCGGAAUCCCGAAGAGAUUUGGGAGUGCUCGCAAGAGAACCGGAACACAGGGUGCUGCAUGGCUGUCGUCAUCGUCUCCUUGGGGAUGUUGGGUUAGAAUCCCGCAACGAGCGCAACCCUUGUCAUUAGUUGCUACGAAAGGGCACUCUAAUGAGACUGCCGGUGACAAACCGGAGGAAGGUGGGGAUGACGUCAGGGUCCUCAUGGCCCAUAUGGGUAGGGCUACACGUCAUACAAUGGUCGGGACAGAGGGUCGCCAACCCGCGAGGAGCCAAUCCCAGAAACCCCGAUCCGUAGUCCGGAUCAUGAUCUGCAACUCGACUGCGUGAGUCGGAAUCGCUAGUAAUCGCGGAUCAACAUGUCGCGGUGAAUACGUUCCCGGGUCUUCCACCGCCCGUCACACCAUGGGAGUGGGUUUUACCAAAGUAGUUAGCCUAACCGUAAGGAGGCGGUGCAGUAGAAGUUCAUGACUGGGGGUGAAGUCGUAGCUAAGACAG
This 1457-nucleotide ribosomal RNA is filed under the name uncultured Bordetella sp. Its description in RNAcentral is "partial 16S-23S ribosomal RNA intergenic spacer". It matches the Rfam family "Bacterial small subunit ribosomal RNA". The record is from RNAcentral. Lineage: Bacteria; Pseudomonadati; Pseudomonadota; Betaproteobacteria; Burkholderiales; Alcaligenaceae.